CUACGGGUCGCAGCAGUCAAGAAUCUUCCUCAAUGGACGAAAGUCUGAAGGAGCAAUGCCGCGUGAUCGAUGACGCUUUUCGGAGUGUAAAGAUCUUUUAUCAGGGACGAAUUCGUGACGGUACCUGAUGAAUAAGUCACUGCUAACUACGUGCCAGCAGCAGCGGUAAUACGUAGGUGGCGAGCGUUACCCGGAUUGAUUGGGUGUAAAGGGUCCGCAGGUGGCCCCAACAGUUAUUGGUCAAAUCUUGAGGCUUAACUUCAAGACUGCCAAUAAUACUUCGGGGCUAGAGACUGGGAGAGGCAAGCGGAAUUGCCGGUGUAGUAGUAAAAUGCGUUGAUAUCGGUAGGAACACCAAAAGCGAAGGCAGCUUGCUAGAACAGUUCUGACACUCAGGGACGAAAGCAUGGGUAGCGAAUGGGAUUAGAUACCCCCGUAGUC
Molecule: ribosomal RNA, 441 nt
Filed under: uncultured bacterium
Lineage: Bacteria
Description: partial 16S ribosomal RNA
Rfam family: Bacterial small subunit ribosomal RNA
Source: RNAcentral